AUGGGAGCUUGCUCCCUGAUGUUAGCGGCGGACGGGUGAGUAACACGUGGGUAACCUGCCUGUAAGACUGGGAUAACUCCGGGAAACCGGGGCUAAUACCGGAUGCUUGUUUGAACCGCAUGGUUCAAACAUAAAAGGUGGCUUCGGCUACCACUUACAGAUGGACCCGCGGCGCAUUAGCUAGUUGGUGAGGUAAUGGCUCACCAAGGCAACGAUGCGUAGCCGACCUGAGAGGGUGAUCGGCCACACUGGGACUGAGACACGGCCCAGACUCCUACGGGAGGCAGCAGUAGGGAAUCUUCCGCAAUGGACGAAAGUCUGACGGAGCAACGCCGCGUGAGUGAUGAAGGUUUUCGGAUCGUAAAGCUCUGUUGUUAGGGAAGAACAAGUGCCGUUCAAAUAGGGCGGCACCUUGACGGUACCUAACCAGAAAGCCACGGCUAACUACGUUGCCAGCAGCCGCGGUAAUACGUAGGUGGCAAGCGUUGUCCGGAAUUAUUGGGCGUAAAGGGCUCGCAGGCGGUUUCUUAAGUCUGAUGUGAAAGCCCCCGGCUCAACCGGGGAGGGUCAUUGGAAACUGGGGAACUUGAGUGCAGAAGAGGAGAGUGGAAUUSCACGUGUAGCGGUGAAAUGCGUAGAGAUGUGGAGGAACACCAGUGGCGAAGGCGACUCUCUGGUCUGUAACUGACGCUGAGGAGCGAAAGCGUGGGGAGCGAACAGGAUUAGAUACCCUGGUAGUCCACGCCGUAAACGAUGAGUGCUAAGUGUUAGGGGGUUUCCGCCCCUUAGUGCUGCAGCUAACGCAUUAAGCACUCCGCCUGGGGAGUACGGUCGCAAGACUGAAACUCAAAGGAAUUGACGGGGGCCCGCACAAGCGGUGGAGCAUGUGGUUUAAUUCGAAGCAACGCGAAGAACCUUAMCAGGUCUUGACAUCCUCUGACACCCCUAGAGAUAGGGCUUCCCCUUCGGGGGCAGAGUGACAGGUGGUGCAUGGUUGUCGUCAGCUCGUGUCGUGAGAUGUUGGGUUAAGUCCCGCAACGAGCGCAACCCUUGAUCUUAGUUGCCAGCAUUCAGUUGGGCACUCUAAGGUGACUGCCGGUGACAAACCGGAGGAAGGUGGGGAUGACGUCAAAUCAUCAUGCCCCUUAUGACCUGGGCUACACACGUGCUACAAUGGACAGAACAAAGGGCAGCGAGACCGCGAGUUAAGCCAAUCCCACAAAUCUGUUCUCAGUUCGGAUCGCAGUCUGCAACUCGACUGCGUGAAGCUGGAUCGCUAGUAAUCGCGGAUCAGCAUGCCGCGGUGAAUAGUUCCCGGGCCUUGUACACACCGCCCGUCACACCACGAGAGUUUGUAACACCCGAAGUCGGUGAGGUAACCUUUAUGGAGCCAGCCGCCGAAGGUGGGAC
This 1410-nucleotide ribosomal RNA is filed under the name Bacillus sp. 13424. RNAcentral describes it as "16S ribosomal RNA". It matches the Rfam family "Bacterial small subunit ribosomal RNA". The record is from RNAcentral. Lineage: Bacteria; Bacillati; Bacillota; Bacilli; Caryophanales; Bacillaceae.